UUUCAUUCUUCUCUUUGGCCCUGGAAAGAAGCGAUAAAACUUGCAAGAUGGCGUCUCAAUGAAAAAUUCGUGCAUUCGUUUCAGAUAAUAAUAAUUAUUAUAAUCAUUGGUAAUUAUUCGGACCGUUGGAAUUGUUGUGCGAAGGCUUGUCUGUUGUGCUUCUAUCAAUUAUUUCCUAAACUUCAUUAUGGGUACGUCAGAUUUAGAAGACCCCGAGUGUAAAAGAGAACCCUUAGGAUUAGAUUCUGAUACAGAUGGAAUGACUGAUCAGAGAAAGAAAAAGAAAAGAAAACACAAGCAUCAUAAGCAUAAGAAAGAAAAAUUAAUUGAAAGAGAAGACGAACGAUUGGAUAGGCAAGAAAGACGGAAGCAUAAGAAACAUAAGAGGCAGAAAAAAGAUAAGGAAAUAGAAAAUGGUAUAGACGAGAAAUUAAUCUCUAAUGUAAUACAUAAAGAAGUUGGUAUGAAUGGAAAAACAAAAACCUCUGUAUUAGAAGUUGUUUCUACGGAAGAAAGCGAAGAUGAAAAGUUAGUUGACUUAGAUUCGGAUGAAGUAGAUUGUACAAUCAUAGAAGAUGAUAUUGAUCUUGAAGAAUUAAUGAAACAAAAGGAAUUACUGCAAGCAUGUUUAGUACAAUAUCUCUCGGAUGAAUCUGAGAAAGGAGAAGAUAAAGAGUUACAAGAAGAAGAAACAAAAAUGACAGAAACACCUGAUGUAAUACUAGUGGAAGAUGAUAGCGAUACUAAUGAUGUACCAUUGAAGAAAAGAACCAGGAGCAAAUCAGGCAGUAGAGAACGUAAGAAAGUGACAAAAGUUGAAAGACGCGUUAUAGUUGAUAUGACUAGAGACAGAAAAACUCGCGAACAGCAUAAAGAUAAGAGAAGAGAUUCCGAUAGGAAAAAAGAUGAGAAAGUCCGUCCUAGAGAGGAAGGAAAGAAAGAAGAAACUCGAAAAGAUGAUAGAGCUUCACGAAAGACUAGCGAAAGGCAAAAGGAAGAUACAAGAAAGGAUGAAUCCAAUAGAAAAGCAGACGAAGACCAGCAAAGGCGUAAAGAUAUACCAAAAAGAGACGAGACACGGAAAAGAGAAUCAGACAGACGUGAAGAGAAUCGGAGACGAGAACCAACUCGUCAUAGCUCAAAAACUCGUAACAACGAGGCAAAGAAUUCAGAUAGUAAAAGUCGCGACAGAUUAGGAAGUCGCGAACAUCAAGACAGUCGCGAUCAACACAUUAAUCACGAUCGACGUAGUCGCGAUAGACCAUCAAGUAAAGAGCCUCGUCGUCACGCUAGUCGUGAUAAGAGAGAUAGUCGAAGUAAAGAUCGACAUGGAAAUAGAGAUAGACGUGAUGGUAGUCGCGAUCGGCGAGAUCGGUAUCAUGAUCAUCGAAUUGAGGAUCGAUCUCGCAGUAGCGUGAGGAAAUCACGUAGUCCUAUUCGAAGCAGAAUGGAAAGAGAACGAAAUGAUCGAUAUAAGAGAUCUAGAUCACCCUCCCGAAGUCACAGAGAUCGGGAUAAGCAACAACAAGUUAGGGACCAUGGCAGAGACCGUGAAAAAGAUAGAAACAACAAAAGGGAGCGUAAUGAUAAAUAUAAGGAUUCUUUAUCAGAAGGUCUGAAAGUAGAACAUUCGGACAGUUCAAGCGAAGAGGAUAUUAAAGAUAUCAAUAUCGAAGAAGAGGAGGACGAAGAAGCGAUUAUAGAACGUCGACGAAAACAAAGAGAAGAAUUGCUUAAAAGACUUAGUGGACCAAACGAGGAUUCCAAUAUGUCUGCUGACAUAAAUGUUGCUGCUUCUCCAGAAAGCCAAUCUAAUAUAUCACAAAAAUCUAUAGAAAUUCCAUCCAAUAAUAAUGAAUCUAUAUUGGAGAGCCAUACUCCACCACUGCCCACAGAUAAAUUAGAAUCUCCGCCUCCGGCCAAAAAAAGAAGAUCUAGAUUCGACGAUGCAUCGCCCAAUGAAUCUGAUAAAAUCGGGAACAUCAAAAUAUCUGAGAAGUUUAAACAGGAGGAAAAGCAAACUUCAAAAAAAUCGAACGAAUGGGAUAUGUUUGCAGAAGCAGAUAAUAUCGGAGAUUUUAAUAGCCCAACAGUUGAAGGAAAACGUCAAGGAGGACCAGAUAAUCCUAGUUUAACGGAUAACUGGGAUGAUGCCGAAGGAUAUUAUCGCGUACGCGUUGGAGAAACACUAGAUGCGCGAUACGUAGUUUAUGGGUAUACAGGACAAGGUGUAUUUAGCAAUGUUGUAAGAGCGAGAGACAGUGCUAGAGGAAAUUUGGAUGUAGCUGUGAAAAUUAUAAGAAACAAUGAGAUAAUGCAUAGAACCGGUUUAAAAGAGCUAGAAAUCCUUAGAAAACUGAACGAUGCUGAUCCAGAAGACAGAUUUCAUUGCUUGCGUCUAUUUAGGCAUUUCUUUCACAAAAACCAUUUGUGUAUGGUUUUUGAACCUUUAGCUAUGAAUUUAAGAGAGGUUUUAAAAAAAUAUGGCAAAGAUGUUGGUUUACAUGUUAAAGCGGUAAGGUCGUAUACGCAGCAACUUUUUCUAGCACUAAAGUUAUUAAAACGUGCAAAUAUUCUGCAUGCUGAUAUCAAACCGGAUAAUAUUCUAGUCAGUGAAAGCAAGUUAGUGUUGAAACUUUGUGAUUUUGGUUCCGCAUCGCACGCCCAUGAAAAUGAAAUAACACCAUACUUGGUCUCAAGAUUUUAUCGUGCGCCCGAAAUUAUUCUUGGUAUACCAUAUGAUUUUGGCAUUGACAUGUGGUCUGUGGGGUGCACCAUAUACGAACUUUACACGGGGAAGAUAAUGUUUUCGGGAAAAACGAACAACCAAAUGUUAAAGUACUUUAUGGAUCUAAAGGGCAAGAUGCCGAAUAAACUAAUUCGAAAGGGAACAUUUAAGGAUCAACAUUUUGACAGUAACUGCAGUUUCCUGUAUCACGAGGUUGAUAAAGUUACGGAACGGGAAAAGGUUGUCGUAAUGUCGACACUGCCAGCGACUCGCGAUCUCAGCGCGGAACUCGGUGGGAAUUCUUUACCACCAGAACAAAAUCGCAAAGUUGGACAACUGAAGGAUUUGCUGGAGCGAACACUGAUGCUGGAUGCGGGGAAGAGGAUCACAGUAAAUCACGCUCUGGCGCAUCCCUUUAUACAAGAAAAAAUAUAGAUGUGUCUUCGAUUCAAAUCAUCGUUAAGUGCGGCCGGACCUUUCAAGGGCCUUUAGCGCCGAUCCCGUUACAAGCCCUCCCUUGUGAGGAGGGGAGGCAAUGGAAGAAGUGAUGAUGAAUACGAUUGAUGAGGAGGAGAGGAAAAAAUAUGCGAUAUACUUGCACUCUACGUCAUGUCUACUGCGUAAAAAUAUACAUACACUGUUGCUAAACAGUUCAACAAGAUUUAUACAACGGUUAAACUAAAUUUAUAUCUGCGUGCUAAAAGGUUUCUCUUAAAGUUACUCGAGAUCGCAAUUGAGGAUUCGUAAGUAUGUAUACAGGUAAAGUACAUAGUUAUAACAAUUUCACAAGCAACAUUAUAACAAGCAUUUUAAUUAACACUUCUAUUUUUCUCAAAAUUAUUUUAAUUUCGAAAGCUAUAUUUUUUAACAACGAGCAAAUGAAUAUAUGAAUAUUUAUAUAAUAAUACUAAUAUUUGCGGUUUUGAGUUUUCAGAUAUUUAAAGCCUAUGCUCUCUCUCUCCGUGAAAGCGAAAAGCAGAUGUGAUGAAUCCAUUAUUCUCGAAAAAUUAUCAUUCUAUUUCUAUUUUUAUUUCUUUCUUCCUUUUACCCUCUUUCUCUCUUUUUUACUCUUUCAUAAAUACUAUCGAAAAAUAUGUAGAAAUA
Molecule: RNA transcript, 3832 nt
Organism: Camponotus floridanus (Florida carpenter ant)
Lineage: Eukaryota; Metazoa; Arthropoda; Insecta; Hymenoptera; Formicidae
Gene: Prp4k
Gene name: serine/threonine-protein kinase PRP4 homolog
Exons: 14
Source: RefSeq, a predicted model, not a curated record